CAGUAACGGCGAGUGAAGCGGCAACAGCUCAAAUUUGAAAUCUGGCUCCUUCGGAGUCCGAAUUGUAAUUUGUAGAGAGUGCUUCGGGCGAGACCUCGGUUUAAGUCCAUUGGAACAUGGUGUCAUAGAGGGUGAGAAUCCCGUAUGCGACCGUGGCUCGAGCCCAUGUGAAGCCUCUUCGACGAGUCGAGUUGUUUGGGAAUGCAGCUCAAAAUGGGUGGUAAAUUUCAUCUAAAGCUAAAUACUGGCUGGAGACCGAUAGCGCACAAGUAGAGUGAUCGAAAGAUGAAAAGCACUUUGGAAAGAGAGUCAAACAGUACGUGAAAUUGUUGAAAGGGAAGCGCUUGCAACCAGACCUGCCCGUAGGCGAUCAGCCGCUGUUCUCAGCGGUGUACUCGCUCUGCGAUCAGGCCAGCAUCGGUUUCGGCGGUCGGAUAAAGACCUUGGGAAUGUAGCUUCCCUUCGGGGAAGUCUUAUAGCCUUCGGUGUAAUGCGGCCAGCCGGGACCGAGGACCGCGCUUCGGCUAGGAUGCUGGCGUAAUGGUUGUAAGCGACCCGUCUUGAAACACGGACCAAGGAGUCUAACAUCUAUGCGAGUGUUUGGGUGUCAAACCCAUACGCGGAAUGAAAGUGAACGGAGGUGAGAACCCUUAAGGGCGCAUCAUCGACCGAUCCAGAUGUCUUCGGAUGGAUUUGAGUAUGAGCAUAGCUGUUGGGACCCGAAAGAUGGUGAACUAUGCCUGAAUAGGGUGAAGCCAGAGGAAACUCUGGUGGAGGCUCGCAGCGGUUCUGACGUGCAAAUCGAUCGUCAAAUUUGGGUAUAGGGGCGAAAGACUAAUC
RNAcentral lists this ribosomal RNA (840 nucleotides) under Xanthoparmelia mexicana. Its description in RNAcentral is "eukaryotic LSU rRNA". It matches the Rfam family "Eukaryotic large subunit ribosomal RNA", at positions 81 to 936 of the family's 3401-position model. The record is from RNAcentral. Lineage: Eukaryota; Fungi; Ascomycota; Lecanoromycetes; Lecanorales; Parmeliaceae.